Molecule: long non-coding RNA, 833 nt
Organism: Vicia villosa (hairy vetch)
Lineage: Eukaryota; Viridiplantae; Streptophyta; Magnoliopsida; Fabales; Fabaceae
Exons: 3
Source: RefSeq, a predicted model, not a curated record
AUAAUUGAAAGAUUGAUUAAAACAAAAAUACGAUUUUUGUUUUUGCGGCUACUAGUGUCUCUUCGAUUGCUGCCACUGGUUGGAGAAGGAAAGGUGCGACUGAAGGAAGAGCGAAAGGUGAUCUACGAUUGUUGCGACUGUAGGAAGAAGGAAAGAGGGAAAAUCAUUGUUAAUAGUUUAAGCUUGUUUUAAAAGAAUGAAUUCAUCAUAUGAAGAUAUUCGCCGCAAGACAAUAGAAGAUAAUAAAAAAAGAUGAAGGCUCUCAAUCUGACUCAACUCUCUCAAUCUAUUUACAAAUCUUCUUCGUCAUCUUCAAAACCAUCAUCGUCUCUGAAGAGUCGUUCGAAGUUUUUACAACCUGGAAAUCUUGAAAUAUCCAGGAAGCGCCUACGUUUAGCGGCAACUCCACCAACUACGAUAAACCCUCUGACAACUACACCAACAAAUAAUCGAUGUCAAACAUAAACAAAACAACAACACGAGACUCCAACAAAAUAUGUGUCAUACUAUCAUGAAAAAAUGCAGCGAUAGCCGAAUUAGAAGAAAGGGAAAAUGAGAGUUUUCAAGAGCCUUAGAUUUUCUUAUAUGGUAGAUGUGUCAACACACAUAGCAUUUCGGGUUGACACAUACUAAAGAAAUUACUUCUAUGUGUCGACACAUAUGAGUUUCAGGUCGACACAUAUGUUGCAAUUUUAAAGUUUGUAGCUUUUGUUACUCACGGGUUGACACAUGAAGUGAUAUGUGUCGACACAAGCAUUUACAUGAGUUGACACAUGACUUAUAUGUGUGGACAAAUGCUGAUAUUUUUCCCAAAAAUUACAUUCCUUUUCAAA